RNAcentral lists this ribosomal RNA (386 nucleotides) under uncultured bacterium. Its description in RNAcentral is "bacterial SSU rRNA". It matches the Rfam family "Bacterial small subunit ribosomal RNA", at positions 28 to 417 of the family's 1533-position model. The record is from RNAcentral.
GACGAACGCUGGCGGCGUGCUUAACACAUGCAAGUCGAACGGUGAACCCCUUCGGGGGGGAUCAGUGGCGAACGGGUGAGUAACACGUGAGCAACCUGCCCCUGACUCUGGGAUAACCCCGGGAAACCGGAGCUAAUACCGGAUAUGACAUCUUCGGGCAUCCGAUGGGUGUGGAAAGAUUUAUCGGUUGGGGAUGGGCUCGCGGCCUAUCAGCUUGUUGGUGGGGUGAUGGCCUACCAAGGCGACGACGGGUAGCCGGCCUGAGAGGGCGACCGGCCACACUGGGACUGAGACACGGCCCAGACUCCUACGGGAGGCAGCAGUGGGGAAUAUUGCGCAAUGGGCGAAAGCCUGACGCAGCGACGCCGCGUGAGGGAUGACGGCCU